Triticum aestivum (bread wheat) is the source of this 136-nucleotide non-coding RNA. The record is from Rfam. NCBI's taxonomy places the organism in Eukaryota, Viridiplantae, Streptophyta, Magnoliopsida, Poales, Poaceae.
UUUAUACUCCCUCCGUCCAAAAAUACUUGUCAUCAAAAUGGAUAAAAAGAGAUGUAUCUAGAAAGUAAAAUACAUCUAGAUACAACCCCUUUGAUCCAUUUUGAUGACAAGUAUUUCCGGACAGAGGGAGUAUCAU